AGUGAUGCCCUUAGAUUUAACGAAUGCCCCAGCAGUUUUCAUGGACCUAAUGAACAGAGUUUUCCAUCAGUAUCUCGAUAGUUUUGUCUUAGUGUUUAUCGACGACAUCCUCGUAUACUCUAAGACCGAAGAACAACAUGAAGAGCACUUAUGCAUCGUACUCAAAACCCUGCGCAAUGAGAAAUGGUUUACCAAAUUCAACAAGUGUGAAUUUUGGUUAAAGGAAGUUAUGUUUCUCGGUCACAUAGUGUCGACUGAAGGAAUCAAAGUAGACCCCGCCAAGGUCGAAGCAGUCAAUGAAUGGAAGGCACCAUCAAAUGUCAAUAAGAUCAGUAGUUUUCUCGGUCCAGCAGGUUACAAUAUAAGGUUCAUCGAAAGAUUCUCGAAAUUGGCUAGGCCAAUGACUCGACUUUUAAGAAAAGGGACUAAGUAUGUUUGGUCCGAAGCUUGUAAACAAAGUUUUAAGUAGCACAAGACUAGGCUGACUACUGCACCAGUGUUAGCAAUACCAGAAGAGAAUGAAGAAUUUGAGGUGUACACUGAAGCCUCGAAACUAGGAUUGGGUUGCAUGUUGAUGCAAAAUCAAAAAAAAUGAUAGCAUACACGUCUCGUCAAUUGAAGCCCCAUGAGCUGAACUACCCGAUUCAUGAUUUAGAACUAGCAGCCGUCGUGCACGCGCUGAAGAUUUGGAGACACUACCUCUAUGGAGUUAAGUGUGAGAUCUUUACAGAUCAUAAGAGUUUGAAAUACUUCUUCGAGCAAAAGGAUUUGAACAUGAGACAACGAAGAUGGCUCGAAUUAGUAAAGGAUUACGAUUGCACCAUCAGUUACUAUCCAGGAAAAGCGAAUGUAGUAGCUGACGCCCUGAGUCGAAAGACGAAGGCUAAGCUAGGGUAUUUCAUUACUCAACAUAAGGAGCUGAUUCGUGAGUUCGCCUCACUCAGUUUAGAGAUUGUUUAUUCCCCAGAUUCAGUAUCGGGUUAUGUAGCUGCACUGACAGCUAAACCUGAUUUGAGAGAAAGAAUUGUGCAAAGCACAAAGAGAAGAUUGGUUCUUGGAGAAGAUGCGUCUCGCUGCAAGAACGAAUGAAACGAAAGGAUUCACUGAAGCAAAUGAUAACGCACUUAUGGUUGGUGAAAGAUUGUGUGUGCCACAUAAAGAAGAAUUAAAGAACGAGAUUAUGAGCAAGGCUCAUGAUACUCCUUACACUGCACAUCCAGGCAGUACAAAGAUGCACUAGAAUUUAAAGAAAAUUUUCUGGUAAACAAGAAUGAAAAGAGAUAUAGCGUCAUAGUAGACCGAUUAUCAAAGUCAGCGCACUUUCUACCAAUUCAAAUGACAUUUGGAUUGGAGAAACUUGCAAAGUUAUAUGUCAAAGAGAUAGUACGCCUUCACGGUGUACCUGUAUCUAUCACGACAAAUUGUGACACCAGAUUCACAUGGCGUUUCUGGAAAAGUUUACAAGAAGCCAUGGGCACACAGCUGAACUUCAGCAUAGCGUACCACCCCCAGACUGACGGGCAGUCAGAAAGAACGAUUCAGAUCCUAGAAGAUAUGCUGCGAACGAUUGUCGCAGACAAAGGUGGAAGUUGGGAGGAUUUGUUACCUCUUGUAGAAUUUGCUUAUAACAACAGUUAUCAAGCAACUAUUGGAAUGGCUCCAUAUGAGGCUUUAUACAGCCGAAAAUGUAGUUCACCACUUUACUAAGAUGAAGUGGGUGAAAGAAAGCUGUUAGGUCCUGAACUGGUCCAACAGAUGGUUGAGAAGGUCGACCACAUCAAGCAAAGAAUCAAAGAAGCUCUAGAUAGACAAAAGUCUUACGCCGAUAAACGCCGAUCGGAGUUAGAAUUCAAUGUUGGGGAUCAAGUUUUCCUCAAAGUUUCUCCCUUAAAGGGAGUUAUACGUUUCAGAAAGAGGGGCAAGUUACGACCCCGUUAUAUAGGACCUUUUGAGAUCCUAGAUAAGAUAGGCCAUGUAGCCUAUAGGUUGGCAUUGCCACCCAGUAUUGGAGACGUGCACAAUGUGUUUCAUGUCUCUCAGUUAAGAAAGUAUGUGUUUAAUCCAAAGCAUUUGCUUAAGCCAGAUAAAGUAGUCAUAGCCAGGACUAAAGUUAUGAAGAGAAACCAGUCCAGAUACUUGAUCGCAAGGUUCAAGUUUUAUGAGACAAUAAUAUUGUUCUCGUCAUGUAGUGGAACCAUCACAGGAUGGAAAAUGCCACAAAAGAAAUGAAUGAAAUGAAAGACUAGUAUCCCAAGCUAGAAUACCAGAUAUGUAAUUUCGAGGACGAAAUUUUUUUUAAGGAGGGAGGGAUGUAAUAUCCCGUUUCCUCGAGCUAAGUCUAGAAUAAUUUUUAAUUUAGAAUUUAUUUUAAACUUAGAAUUAAGAUGAUUCACGCCGGAUUGAGAAAAAAAUGAAUUUAUUUUAAUUCCAACAAAGACGAUUUACAAAAAUAUAUUUUGUAAAUUUAGUUAUUAAAUUUAUGUGCGUCGCAUAUUUAUUUAAUUUAGCAUUCAAGCAUUUUCAUGAGCUAUUUAUUUAAGCAAACACUGAACGAUUAUUACAGUUUUCAUAGUACAACCCGGAAGAUUUUUAUUUUAUUUUAUUUUACUCCACUACACCCACUACCCACUACACCUACUCCUACACAGCAAUACAUUCGUCCACUCCUCUCUGUCUGCCAUAUCUCAAUUAUUCUCGCAAGGAAGAAAUUCAAUGCACAUCUCUAUCUCCAGAAGUUCAACAACAUCAUAUUCACUAACCAUUCGUCUCUACACAGAACACUAUAAGGCUUUGUGACCAGGGGGAUUAGCGCUGCUUUCCCAAGACAGGUUUAUAUGUGAUUAUGAUCUUCAGGCUUUGCCUAUCCAGGUGGGCAUUACUUUCCAAAUGUACAAAGUAUGAUUGAGUUAUUAAGCUCUAAAUGUUUCAAUGAAAUGCAAAUUGUUUAUUUAAUGUAAUGAAAACUGUUUAUCCAAUAAAAUGUUUAUGUGCACUCUGCUCUGUUUAAGGCUCGCGCAGUUAAUCAAUUGAGGUUCUCUUAUGACCUAAUACGUUGUUUGAGAAUUGUGUACACUUGUUAGUUGACUCGGUGGGUUGAUCUCCAUCGGGCUCUAACCAGAGGCGUUAUAAGGGUGCUCGGCUGGAUGUGUUCCGGAGCAUGAGAAAUAUCAGGCCUGCCUGGGUAGCGUCCCGAGGUCAAAGUAAACUUGUCUGGGUUACGCCCUCAGUUCAAGUAAGCGGGAGACAGAGAUCCGUCGGUGGCUAAAAGGUCCGGGAUCACAGCGAGUAACAGAAAGGGAGUGUGACAUGUGCGCACAAAUGAAAGAAAAUAUUUUAACAUGCUUAGAAGCUAUUUCAAUUUAAAACCUUCUAAGACAUGUCAAGUAUGAUUGGAUAAACUGUCUUUACGAAAAUAUAAAAUGUUUCAGAAAAUGCAUGCCCACUAAGUACAUUAGUACUUAGCCCAAAAAUACUUUCAAAUGUUUUCAGGUUGGCUGGACGGUGCUGACGGGACGGAGCUGAGGCUAAAGAUAAAUUCCUAUGUUAGACUUCCGCUGUAGCAAUUACUCAUAUCCAUCUUUUGUUUUCCCAACUUAAGAUCUUCAUGUUAAAUUUCAAAUGAUAUAUUUGACCGAGCUUAGACUCUUCACUACUAAAUUUAUGCUAAUGAAUGUUGGUUGUCAGAAGCAUGAAACAAAACUUGUGAUCCAAAUGGGCAUAGCCCGACUUUCUAUCAUAUUUCGGGUUUUAACAAGGUUUUUCCCUUGUUUAUUUCUAUGAAUUAUUCA
Salvia miltiorrhiza (redroot sage) is the source of this 3788-nucleotide long non-coding RNA. RefSeq lists it as uncharacterized. The record is from RefSeq and is a predicted model, not a curated record. The transcript has 2 exons. Lineage: Eukaryota; Viridiplantae; Streptophyta; Magnoliopsida; Lamiales; Lamiaceae.